Molecule: long non-coding RNA, 5601 nt
Organism: Haemorhous mexicanus (house finch)
Lineage: Eukaryota; Metazoa; Chordata; Aves; Passeriformes; Fringillidae
Exons: 2
Source: RefSeq, a predicted model, not a curated record
UUGUUUGGUUCGUUGUUGUUUCUGGAAUAGCUAGCAUAAAACCAAAGGCUGGCCCAUUGUCAGGUUAGCAGACUUCCUUUUUGGCGAUUCCUUCCCUCUUCUGUGAAGUUUUUAAUCUUCAAAAUAUCAAAUAGAGAAACAAGCAACAAACCAAAGGAAAACAAAACCCCCAUAGUUUUCCUUUUAACAUUAAGUUAUCAAUGUCCUUGAAAAGAUGGAGUCAGCCCUUUUACUGUAGAUCAUUAUACUUUGGGUGGAACCAGGGAAAAUAGUAGUUUGUGCAAAAUGGAAGCUGGUAAGGCUUUGCUUGUGUAAUGGUCUGCUUGAUUUCUCCCUGCUGGAAACCUGAGAAUAUGUCCAACCUAAAUGGUGGACAUUUAUUAAUUUAAUCUAUCCCACAGUGACUUGCUUCUUGUGGACCCCUUAUGCAUUACUAGACCCAGCUGGUUUGGAAAGGGGUGAUUUAUAGAGGCGUUAGUGAGUGUAGCUAGAUCUGUACUUGGACCAGAGUUCAGGAAUAGCAUUGAGCACCUACAAUUUACAUUGUCCAAGUGCUGGUUUGUGGGUUUUACUUUUUACCUCUUGGAGGAACCACUCUGUAAGCUGAAGGGGAAAACAAGUGCUCAACUCUGGCAUUAGACUUUCAUGGAAUGAGGACACAGUCCCAGCUCAAAUAUAACCAUUUCUUCUAGCGAUUUCUUUUCAUCUUUCUUGAAGUAGAAGAAUUUGAGAUGGGGGUUUCAGCAGAUGACAGUCUAGCAGGUUGCACCUCUGGCUCAAGAUAUCAGCAUGUGGGAGGACAGAGGCUUUUGGACUUACUGCUUCGGGUGAGUUUGGAGCCAGGCAGAGCUUUGUGCAGCAGUACUCGGAGCUAUGUAGGGGCUGCAAUGGGUGCUGCUUGCUUGCUUCUCUGGAGACAGAGCUGAAACAAGAGAGGAAGUCUAGUUACCGUUUCUGGAGCGGGGAAGAGAGAAGUACAGGUUGGUGAGGGAGAGCAACACAGUAGCUUGUGAAGUUAGGAAGAAUUUUCUGAUGCUUGUUCAGUGUUAUCUCCCCUUCACUACUCUAGGAAAGGAAAAUUCUGUGAUCUGUGAAGAUUGUGAGAACAUAAAGCUUUGAGAAUAUUUUCAAAGCAAGCAGUAUUUUUCAGUAAGAGCGUUGUGUGAGUGUUUACAUGGGGCAGUAGAGAGAGGUAUUAGGAGAAAGCAUAGCUAAUAGUAACACAAUAAAUAUUGCUUUGGAAUUUAUGCACCUCUGGCUGAUUGUUUAGUGCUCUUGUCCUUGAAAAGUGCUCUGUGAAAUAUGAAGAUUUCUGUAGAAAAAAAGUUUUAGAAAUCUUUUUGCCUGUUUUAACCUUUUAAUAGUCUGAUUAUCAAAUGCUAGGGAGAUAAAAGUUCAUUCAACAUUAGAUUGUUGAGACAACCAAGUACUGAAUCAUAACCCUAAUGCCUGUUUAGUGCCAACUGCCAAAUAAAAUCAUGUUAUUGGAAUGAAGUGCCUAUAUCCUGUUAAGGCACAAGAAUACUUGGCAGUUAGCAUCCAGUCAUUUCACUAAGCUUUACAGCCAGGGAUUGUAAAGAAAGAGCGGAACUUGCAAAUAUUAGAUUGGCAGAAUUUAAAAAUGAAAGCAACAUGAAAGGUAAAAUCCAUUCAAUAAAUGUCUUUAGUCCCAGGCUAAUAAAGAUUUUUGACUAGUGUUUUUGUGCAAAUUCUCUAUGUUCAUGUUAAUUAAAUGUGCGGGGUAUUAUUGUUGGACCUUUUUUUGCACUCACUCUGCACUAUCAAACUCAUCAAAAUUUUCCCUAUUAAUUUUCUUUGAGGUAGACCAUCUCUGGUCUCUGAAUUUCAGAUUCCAUUUUCUGUCUCAGCUGUCUGGGCACAGAUCGUAUUCAUGUCUGAUGACUUGAUGACUACCUUAGUUAGUGUAUCCUAAACUGAAUUCCUUUCAGCUUUUCCCUUCCCUGUUCUGUCAUCAUCAUCUCAUUGCUCUUGCUUCCUACUUUGCCAUCAUCUUACUAUUUUCCUACAGUGUCACAUGAUGCCAACUUUCAGUUGCGUCAUGAAAUCAAAAAUUUGUUUUUAAAGAUCUGUUCAUUUCCACUAGUGCUUACUACAUAAAGAUAUUGAUUUCUGUAUUGACUGUAUGGACAGGAUCUGCCUAACUUUGUGUGCCCAUAAGGCACAUACCUUGCUGGGACUGUAUCAAUACCAGCCCUUCCAGAUUGCACAUUCUUGCAUCAUGCAGCAUGCGGGGCUGCAGGAACGCAUCCCGCUGACGCACGGGAGCAUAACAGAAGAAGGGACUGUUGAGGCAGGACAUGGGGGUGGGGAGGUGAGGAAAUAAAGCAAACGAAGUUCAGCUGUUUGAAAUCCCAAAUAAAAAACUGUCAGCCUGAGGGAGCUCACAAUUUAGUGCUCCAGCUCCUUGACAGAGUGUGACAAUUUAGGAUUAUUUGCAUAAAUCUAAGAUACUGCUGAAAGCAGGCACUUUCAACAAGCUGUCUUAUUGCAAGGAGGGGACAGAUACAGUCGAGGCUUUGAUCUCUCAAGAACUUGGCACGUGAGUGUUCUCUCUGACUCCUUACUAAGAAAUCUUCCUCUGGCAUUUCUCCCCAAAUGUACCUUCUCCUACUUCAGCAAUAUUGAAAUGGGCUUAACAGUUCUAGGAAUGGCCUGGGAGAUGAGUGCUAUUCCUGGCCUUGCCACUCUCUGAUUUGCUGUGUGAUCUUAGACGAGUUAUAGCCCCAUUUCAGUUUGCUUAUCUGUAAAAUGUAAAUAAUGCUCAUGGAACUUCACAAUAGUUUUGAGUUAUGUGAAAAGCUGAUAGGAUGUAUUUAUAGAAGUACAUUUAGUUGAUGUUGAAAUAUUUUCUGCUAACUUUUAUAUAGCAUUGUACUUUAGAAAACUUCUAUAGCAUGACAUAUAAAUGUGAAGAAAAUUAUCCAUAGAUAGAGUAUGGUGGAAACUAUCUAAGAGAUUGUAAUUUCUUGUGAGACUUUGAAAAGGCAACCUAUAGUACUGCUAUCUGCAAUUUCAUUUUAUUGCCAUUUCACUUCAGUUUUCAUUUACUUUAAUUCAGAAGUGACUAAACAUAUUCAAACUUUCAAAGAAACUGAAUUUAAGGUGGGGGAGAGAAACAGUAAUAGAAAAACAAACAUGUUAUAGUCUAGCACAUGUAGAUACAUGUGCUAGCAUUCUCCUUCCUUAGAAUCCUAAAACAUUUCAGUUUGGGGGUAGGGUGGAUAUUCUUAUCAAGGCACUAAACUUUGUUUUGCUGGCAUUUGAAAUGUAGCUAGCUUUGAGAAGUGAGGAAGCUGUUUAGCAGAACACAGCAGUGCUGCACAGUAUGUCAGGAGACAAAGAACAACACAGUCAAAGUAUAAGUGAAAGCAGCAUUUGGCCACACUGGAAUCUGACCAGUCAAGAAUUGGUGUUUAUAACCAAAGGAAAAAAACACCCAAAGCCAUGGCUUGUCUCAGUAUGUUUACCAGUCUUUUUGGCUUAAAAUCAGUAAUGGGCUUUAUUGAAAGCAUUCCUUUAAAAUGGUGACCUUAGGAGCCAGGCUAGAUUGAUACCUUACAUUAGUACAACCUCAGCACAGUUACAAGAUAAGUAAGGCUUAGAGGUUAGGCUUUUGUAUAUUUGAGUUGCAUAUUUUAAUAAACAUAUUCUGUUUGCAUAUUACUUCUGCCAUCUUACAAGUUGUAUUGCAAAGUGGAGCUAGGAAGGAGGACAGAAGGCAGAGAACAUAAUCUUGAAAUCGGCUAUGGCUGCAAAGUAGACCUUGUAAAAGCUGUAAAAUUGAGCUAUGAUUAUGGCCUAUCUUUUCUGGAAGGCAGAUACAAAAUUAUAGUAAAUUUCUGCAGCUGUUUGCAGAAGUUGCAGUGUUCAAUUUGAGAAAGGUUUGCCCUCCCCAGGUCAUGUUUUCACUUACAGAAAUGUUUUCUCUUAUGAAAUUCACAUGUACUUAAUGUAGGGUGCCAGGCUGAUCACUGCAGCUGUUUAAAAUAGAAAAGCAGAUGGAACAAAUGUGAAGAUUUACCGCACAGCUUGAUCUCUUCCCCUGAAGCAGCCAUUCAUCAUCAGCACCGCCGAGACAAACUGCAAAACGAGUUUCCCUUCAUGGCUGUGAUUGGGCUCUGAGAGGUGGCAGAGCUGCACGACAGUCUCCCGAUUGGCUGGGCGGGAACACACCUCUGGAAUCUGUUUAUUUCCCAAAAAUAAGAUACAAUCUUUUACAUUUCGCCUAGAGAUCUUUUAUCUUGCAUUUAAUAUCCAAAUAAACCAGAAAAAACGCAGUUAACCUUUUUGGAACAGAUGUAGUACUUUAGAUGGUUGGAAUGAAUUCAAGUUUUUGGGGUUUUAUUUGGUGGUUUUUUGUUUUUUCCUCAUUUUCUCCUGAGAAAAUUGUGCCUGUGCAAGUUGUCUAGAUAUGUUGUUUGCAUUUUUCUGGGUGACUAUGUAUCAUAUUCAAGAACUUCCUUGCAUCUUAGCUAGAGCUGAAAGUUGUUUUCACAUUUUAUAAUGUAUUGACCUCAGCUUCUACUAAAGGCAGUUAUUCUUCUAAAGCUGUUUUUAUGUCUGCUCAGUAAAAUGUUUACACUUGCAGUACUGUCUUUCAUUAUUUUUGUAAAGGUCAAAUUGCUAUUUCUGAUCAUUAUUUAGUGAGUUUCCUUUUUAUUAUGUUAAUCAAUUGAAAUAGAUCUGGAAUUUUCUUGGAUUUUUUUUUUUUUUAAGUUAAGGACUUAAACUAUUUUGAUGCCCUGUGUAAAAUAACUCCAGACUGCAACUGAAUGAUUUGAUCAUCUGCAGUGAAUGUUCCAGCUGAGUAAGUAUCUGGCAUAACUGAAUACAUCAGUACUCAUUAACCUACUUCCUCUCUCUCUUUCAAAAAAAGGUAGAAAAUUAUAUGGAAAACACAUAUGACUUUUGUUGUGGUUCACAUGGGAUGCAUACAGAAGCAGAAGGCUGUGAAAGGCUAGUUUGUGAAGCAGGAACUUGUGGUAUUAUCAAGUAACAAGGAAUUGGACCAGCACCAAACAGGAAUGUUGACUGUAGGAGUAAUUGCCUUCAGAAGAAGGCAAAGAUACAGAGAGAAUAAGAAUGGAAAUAGAUGAGAGAGAAGAUUAAAGGCAAGAGAGGCUGACUACCAGAAAGCUCUUAAAACCCAAGUUCAGUUUUUCCCUUCCUCCCUGAAUAAUUGGAUUUGCUUCUGUUAUAUUUAAAUAUGGAUAAAGGCAGUAGUCAGUAAUAUGUAAAUUGCCAGUCGACUUUUGAAAAUGCAUUUAUUUUCAUGAUCUAUACAGAAUUAAGUGUUGAGAUUUUUAAACGAUCAGCUGUGAUACCUUAUUGGUGUUGCUGAAUUAAUAUUAAACAUUCCCUUCUUAAAUCUUUGCACCCUCAGUGAUGGUUUUAUAAGCUUUCACAUUAUCCUAUAAAAAUUCCUUGCUCUUUGGAGCAAAGUGUGGAGGAAAUAACACGUGCACUUACGAAGGAAUUACCAGGAAAAUAUACUUUCAAUUCCCUAAUACACAAGUCUUUUUAAUUGUUUGUUUAAAAUCUUAACCCAGAAAAGUGACAGAGAAAAGCCUUCCUCAGAAA